This 451-nucleotide ribosomal RNA is filed under the name uncultured bacterium. RNAcentral describes it as "partial 16S ribosomal RNA". It matches the Rfam family "Bacterial small subunit ribosomal RNA", at positions 354 to 796 of the family's 1533-position model. The record is from RNAcentral.
GUGGGGAAUAUUGCGCAAUGGGGGAAACCCUGACGCAGCGACGCCGUGUGAGGGAAGAAGGCUUUCGGGUCGUAAACCUCUGUCAGAAAGGAAGAACCUCCCAAGUCCGAAUAGGGCUUGGGACUGACGGUACUUUCAAAGGAAGCACCGGCUAACUCCGUGCCAGCAGCCGCGGUAAUACGGAGGGUGCAAGCGUUAAUCGGAAUCACUGGGCGUAAAGCGCGCGUAGGCCGCUUUGUAAGUCGGACGUGAAAGCCCUCGGCUCAACCGGGGAACUGCGUUCGAUACUGCGAGGCUUGAGUCCUGGAGAGGGUGGCGGAAUUCCGGGUGUAGGAGUGAAAUCCGUAGAUAUCCGGAGGAACACCGGUGGCGAAGGCGGCCACCUGGACAGGUACUGACGCUGAGGCGCGAAAGCGUGGGGAACAAACAGGAUUAGAAACCCCAGUAGUCC